UACGUAGGGAGCGAGCGUUAUCCGGAAUUAUUGGGUGUAAAGGGUGCGUAGACGGGAAUACAAGUUAGUUGUGAAAUCCCUCGGCUUAACUGAGGAACUGCAACUAAAACUAUAUUUCUUGAGUGCAGGAGAGGUAAGUGGAAUUCCUAGUGUAGCGGUGAAAUGCGUAGAUAUUAGGAGGAACACCAGUGGCGAAGGCGACUUACUGGACUGUAACUGACGUUGAGGCACGAAAGUGUGGGGAGCAAACAGG
This 253-nucleotide ribosomal RNA is filed under the name uncultured bacterium. RNAcentral's name for it is "partial 16S ribosomal RNA". It matches the Rfam family "Bacterial small subunit ribosomal RNA", at positions 524 to 776 of the family's 1533-position model. The record is from RNAcentral.